UGGUGUCAAAGUAUCAUUUUCCAUUAUAAAAUAAACCCCCUAGCACGUUGACCAGCUAAAUUGUCAUCAUCAUCUGUUCACUCUGUUCACUCAUCAUCAUCUGUUCACUCAUCAUCAUCUGUUCACCAUGGAUCCACCACCGAAUGCUGGCGGAACAACGCCUUUGCAGCAAGCAAAGCGUAGACGCCAUGACGCCAGACGAGCGCUGGCAUUAGCUCAAUUUGAUUAUGCGAAGGAGCUCGUGAGAGACGACCGCCUUCAAGAUGCGGCAAAAGAGGCUAAGAAAGCGAAGGUAAUUCUCAAGGAAACCGACAAGGAAGAUGCUAUCGAAUAGCUUCGGAGGAUGACGGUGUAAGAUUUUUUGUUCUUCUAAGUUCUUUUUUGCGAGUCCAAGAACCGUUCUUUUGUUGCAGGAACCUAAUUCUUUUGUAUACCAAAAUCGUUCGUUCUUAUGUGAGACUUUCUUUUGUUCUUGAGACUUUCUUUUUCAAGUUUUUGGUGCAUGUUAAUGAACCAACACCAGUAUGAUCAUCUUUGACUUAAGGCUUGAUGAAGUUUGCUGUUAUUGAUUCACUUGUUCUGAUGAGAUCAUUUCCUGAUCACAUGUCUUUAUAAAAAUGCCACUCCCUCACACUCCAGAUAUAUAAUUUAAGUAUAUAUAAUAUUAUCAAAACAUAUCUUUAAAUCUGAACAACUUAACCUUUUUGUAAAAGGGGUACGAAAGAAGCCAAAUCUGCAUAUGAAUAUGAAAGAAGCCAAAAGAAUCAAGCUUCACCUAUCUUCAAUUUUAUGAGUUGAAUUUUCUAUAAUCAAUUAUCUUCCAAUAAAAGCAGUGGAAUUCAUAUAUGCAUCUACGUGUAUGUUAAAUAAAAUCCAAAUAUGGUACAUGCACCUUAAUUUCUCUUUCUGCAUAACAAGUGGUUUAAAAUUGAAAAUGGGUUUCUUUCUUUUUCAUUCUUUUAAGCUUCUACAGGAAUUUGACUUUAUUCCACACAAACACCAUUUCUGCACCUUAAUUUCACCUUUUUUGUAUUCAUUUUCUGUUUCUGUUUAAAAGGGUCAUCUGUUCUUGCAGGGAAGCUGUUUAUCAGUUUCAGUUUUUAGAAAUAGAUACUUUCUGUAUAAUUAAUCACUGAUUUGAGUACCCUCUUAAAUAUUAUGGUAUUUGUUUACCUUAUAUAAUUACAGUAGUUUCUGGCCAAAGAAUUCAUGGUGGUGUUUGAAUGAGUUUCAUGGUCUACUUAUUAGAGAAUAAAGGGAAAAAGAAAGAGAAAGAAUGGGAAAGUGGUUUUUUUUAUAUGUUAUAAAGAAAGUAAAACAGAUGUGUCAGCCCCACAUGCUUUAGGUAAAAAGAUUGCAAAAAUAGUUCUGUUCAUGUUAAAAUGGUGGAAAAUUAAGAUAAACUAGAUCACAUUCAAUACUUACUAUAUAUUUUUUCCAAUUUUUAAUGAUUUUUUUUACUAGUAUUCAUUUUUAUUUAUCAUUUUUAAAAAAAUUAAGAUAAUAUUAUUCUUUUUCUAGUUGUAUCUUUAAAUUGAUUAAUAUGAAAAGAAAAAAAUGGCAUUGCAAAUGACUUUUACAACAAAAUUUAAACUCUUACAAUUGCAUAGAACAAAUAUUUAAACAUCAAAAUUUGACUAUUAUUACAUUUUUUUUUCUUCUAAAAAAAUUUACUCCUUAUCUAAUUUAUAUCUCUAUUUAAAAUGUGUGUGAUUCAGAAUACCUAUUACACAUCUUCAAGGUGUAAAUAAGCAACAGAGGAACAAAAUACAUUUCUUAUUGACUUUUAUAGCGAUGCCAAAUUAUUCAUAAUUUUCACUCCAUCAAUUUCUUCAAUCAAUAGAUAAAUUAUAAUGAAAUUCCAAGAAAAUAAAAUCAAAGUUACACAUCAAUUCAAAACUAAAUAAAAUCGAAGUGAAGAUGAAUGAACACCAAAUAAAAUCGAAACAAAAAUGAUAAAAAAGACUACCUGAUUGUAUAUGCAGUUGAUGAAUACCAUAUAAAAAUAAAUCAAAGAUUAGAUAUCAAAUAUCACAUUAUACCAAGUUUAUGAAAAUGGUUGUACAGCUUUAUGAGAAUCGUUGUAGACGAUAAUGCUGAUAGAUCUUUCAAAAAGAAAAUUUAUUUAGACACAACACCAAUCAAAUUUGAACUCAAUUCAUACAAAAAUUUAAUGAAAACAUAGUACAAAUAAAGGUAAAAAUAAUUAAGACAGAGACUUAGAACUAAAGCAAAAGUGAGAACUAGUAGAAGUAAGAAUAAGAGUUAAAGUGGUGAGUGAAAUAAUGAAAUUUUAAAUUCAAAUUCACUUUUAUGAAAAAAAAAAUCUUAAAAAAAUCAUUAUACUUUUUUUUAGAAUUUUUAUUUGUAAAAUAAAUUACAUAAUUAUAUAAUCAAUAUAAACGUAUAUGAUUUUUUAAGUAUUGAAAAUAUUUUUUUUGAUAAUUUUUCCCAUACUAAUUUACCUGUAUUUGAAGCGGAGUUUUUUCUUUUUUAAAAGUGUGAAAAAUAUUUUACAUGAAAAAAAAAAGUGUAUAUAUUUUCCACCCAAAUUUUGUAACACAAAAUUAUGCAUGUAAUAAAUGAUUCUAAAGAAAUUCUGAAAGACAAUCUUGCCUAGAAUAUUUUUUAAGGUAGUGUGCAUAAUUGUCACACAUCACGUGCUAAGAGAAGGAAAAUACAACAUCAAUUUCAGUAAAUACUUGUCUGAAUAUGUAUGUAUUUACGUCCUUCUAAUAUUCUAGUCCGAUUACAACAGAAAAUAACAUAUAGUUAAUUGUUAAUCAUAAUAGUAGGAUGUACUAUUAAAAUUGUUCUCAACAUCACUCUUGUUGAGGUAAUAUUUUCCGGUUAAUUAUGAUAUUUGAGACGGUUUCGAAACUUGAAACCUUUUUAUUGUUUUAUUUUUAGAAGAUGCUUUAGAAGAUUGAAGAAGAAAGGUGG
This 2943-nucleotide long non-coding RNA is filed under the name Vigna radiata. RNAcentral describes it as "long non-coding RNA (VRAD_LNC004007)". Lineage: Eukaryota; Viridiplantae; Streptophyta; Magnoliopsida; Fabales; Fabaceae. The record is from RNAcentral.